UGAAAGGGGAGGACACAUUAGCAAUCUGCUUUCAUUGGUUAAAUGCAUGACAAAAACUAAACCCCAGAGGUAAAUCCUACGUUUGAGUAUUGCCUGACCGGGGAGCACCCAUACUGAAGGAUCUGCCUAAUGCUGACGGGUUCCUCGUCAGAAGCUGUCCCAGGUGCAGGGAACAAGCACUAAUCUGCUAUUCUAUACCAGAGAGAAUUACCUGCUGCCUUGAUUUUCUCUCCCCAAGCAAAGACACCAGCAAAAGCCUCACUGCAGAGUAACAGGAGGAACCUUUACAGUGACUGCUCCGAGGGCUGCUGUCCAUUCAGCAUCCGCCAUGUGACUGGAAGGCCCUUUGUCAUUCAGAUCUCCUAAGCCCUGUAUGCCAGCGUGAUGUUAUUGACGUGAACUGGGACCGUACAGAUCCUGGUUGCAACCAAAGUCCUGUAGUGGCACCAAAUCUUGUAUAAAGGGGGUCAAACAGGGUAUCUAAGACAAGGUUCUGGGUUGCUGGUUAUGCUGCUGCUGCCUCUGUG
Chelonoidis abingdonii (Abingdon island giant tortoise) is the source of this 527-nucleotide non-coding RNA. Lineage: Eukaryota; Metazoa; Chordata; Testudines; Testudinidae. The record is from RefSeq and is a predicted model, not a curated record.